UGCUAACCAAGUAAAUGUGAUUUCAAGUGUUAAAUAUUGGAAAACAAUUUAUAGAUUGUAUUUGGAUUUAUAGGUUUCUGCAUAGAGUUUCGAUUUACUAAGUAAAAGUUUGGGUAUAGUAAACCAUAUUAUAUACAUUCUAUUUGGGUUUAUACUUCCUUGAUUAGGGUUUAGCUUAAUCUAUUUAUUUAGGUUUAGGGUUUAGGGUAUAUUUGGAUUAGGGUUUAGUGACUAGAAUGUAAGGUCUAGUAUUUAGAAGGUGAGGGGGUAUGGUUGGGGUGAGCAUUAACUUCUUUCAUGCAAUCACAGAUAUUUUAUAGUUUCACCAAUAUGUACUAUGUUAUUUAUUUUGUUCCAUUCUAUUUGGGUUUGUGUUUAUAUUUGGGUUUAGGGUUUAUAUUUGAGUUAGAGUUUAGUGAUUAGAGUUUAGGAUUUAGAUUUACUAAGUAAAUGUUUGGGUAUAGUAAACCAUAUUAUAUAUAUUCUAUUUGGGUUUAUAUUUUUUUGAUUAGGGUUUAACUUAAUCUAUUUAUUUCAAGUAAAUGUGCUUUCAAGUGUUUAAUAUUAGAAAACAAUUUAUAGAUUGUAUUUGGGUUUAUAGGUUCAUGCCUAGGGUUUAGAUUUACUAAGUAAAGGUUUGGGUAUAGUAAACCAUAUUAUAUACAUUCUAUUUGAGUUUAUAUUUGGGUAUAUAGUAAACCAUAUUAUAAACAUACUAUACUAUAUCCACCAUAUAGUAUAGUGGUAUGAACCUGGGUACACUUGAUAUUUGAAAACGUGAGAAAUUGUCUAUAUCUUGAAUGUAGAUUGACAUAUCCACAUUAGAUUAGAGAUAUUCAAUUCCUUAAAGAAUAGUACGCAAGACAUUGUAACUUUACCAUAUUACAUCAUCUACACAUUUG
Molecule: long non-coding RNA, 902 nt
Filed under: Brassica napus (rape)
Lineage: Eukaryota; Viridiplantae; Streptophyta; Magnoliopsida; Brassicales; Brassicaceae
Description: long non-coding RNA (BNAP_LNC000362)
Source: RNAcentral